UACGGAGGGGGCAAGCGUUGUUCGGAGUCACUGGGCGUAAAGGGCGCGUAGGCGGUGCGUAAAGUCAGGCGUGAAAGCCCCGGGCUUAACCUGGGAAUUGCGCUUGAUACUGACGUGCUAGAGAACGGGAGAGGAUGGCGGAAUUCCACGUGUAGCAGUGAAAUGCGUAGAGAUGUGGAGGAACACCGAUGGCGAAGGCAGCCCCCUGGGUCAAGAUUGACGCUCAUGCACGAAAGCGUGGGGAGCAAACAGG
Molecule: ribosomal RNA, 253 nt
Filed under: uncultured bacterium
Lineage: Bacteria
Description: partial 16S ribosomal RNA
Rfam family: Bacterial small subunit ribosomal RNA
Source: RNAcentral